GAUGAACGCUAGCGGCAGGCUUAACACAUGCAAGUCGAGGGGUAUUGGUUUUCGGACCAAGAGACCGGCGCACGGGUGCGUAACGCGUAUGCAAUCUACCUUUUGCAGAGGGAUAGCCCAGAGAAAUUUGGAUUAAUACCUCAUAGUAUAGUACUUUGGCAUCAAGGAACUAUUAAAGUCACAACGGCAAAAGAUGAGCAUGCGUCCCAUUAGCUAGUUGGUAAGGUAACGGCUUACCAAGGCUACGAUGGGUAGGGGUCCUGAGAGGGAGAUCCCCCACACUGGUACUGAGACACGGACCAGACUCCUACGGGAGGCAGCAGUGAGGAAUAUUGGACAAAUGGGGCGCAAGCCUGAUCCAGCCAUGCCGCGUGCAGGAUGACGGUCCUAUGGAUUGUAAACUGCUUUAUACAGGAAGAAACACUCCGACGUGUCGGAGCUUGACGGU
RNAcentral lists this ribosomal RNA (448 nucleotides) under uncultured bacterium. RNAcentral describes it as "bacterial SSU rRNA". It matches the Rfam family "Bacterial small subunit ribosomal RNA", at positions 28 to 476 of the family's 1533-position model. The record is from RNAcentral.